GCCCGGUGUGUGCGGGCGUGGUGGGGCUGAAGAUGCCGCGGUACUGCCUGUUCGGGGACACGGUGAACACGGCGUCGCGCAUGGAGUCCACCGGGCUGCGUGAGUGUGACACCAAUGGGGACACUGAUGGGGACACAUGGACAUGGACAGACACACGGACAUGGACAUGGGGACAUGGAGACAGACACACGGACAUGGGGACAGACACACGGACAUGGGGACACAUGGACAGGGGACACGGUGAACACGGCGUCACGCAUGGAGUCCACCGGGCUGCGUGAGUGGGACACCAAUGGGGACACUGAUGGGGACAUGGGGACACAGGGACACGGCUGGGGACACAUGGACAGGGAUGGGGACACACAGACAUGGACACAGGGACAGGGACAGGGAUGGGGACACACAGACAUGGACACAGGGACAGGGACAGGGAUGGGGACACAUGGACAUGGACACAGGGACACAAGGACAGGGACACGGUGAACACGGCGUCGCGCAUGGAGUCCACCGGGCUGCGUGAGUGGGACAAUGGGGACACUGAUGGGGACAUGGGGACACGGCUGGGGACACACGGACACGGACACGGGGACAGGGAUGGGGACACACGGACACAGACACAGGGACACAGGGACAGGGACAUGGACACAGGGGACACGAACACGGCGUCGCGCAUGGAGUCCACCAGGCUGCGUGAGUGGGACAAUGGGGACACUGAUGGGGACACAUGGACACGGCUGGGGACACACGGACAUGGGGACAGACACACAGACAUGGACAUAGGGACAGACACACGGACAUGGACAUGGACACAGGGACAGGGACAGGGACACAGGGACACGGACAGGGGACACAGUGAACACGGCGUCGCACAUGGAGUCCACCGGGCUGCGUGAGUGGGACACCAAUGGGGACACUGAUGGGGACACAGGGACAUGGACAGACACACGGACACGGGGACAUGGACACCGGGACAGGGAUGGGGACAGACACACGGACAUGGACUUGGACACAGGGACAGGGAUGGGGACACAGGGAUGGGGACAUGGGGACAUGGACAGACACACGGACACGGGGACAUGGCUGGGGACAUGGACAGACACACGGACAUGGACAUGGACAGACACAGGGACAUGGGGACAGACACACGGACAUGGACGUGAGGACAUGGACAGACACACGGACAUGGACGUGGGGACAUGGACAGACACANCACACCCCUUCUUGGCCACGCCCAACAUGGCCAACGCUCAAUGGCCACGCCCCUGUGUUGGUCAAGGGUUGGGUGGUGGCCAAUGGUCAAUGGGUUAUGGUGGGUGGGGGCUGGUGGUUGUGAGGUGCUUGGCCACGCCCAUUGGUCACCCCCUUACAGGCCACGCCCACCUCAUGACUGUUCAUUGGCCACACCCCUUCUUGGCCACGCCCAACUUGGCCAAUUCUCAAUGGCCACGCCCCCUGUGUUGGUCAAGGGUUAGCCAAUGGUCAGUGGGUCAUGUUGGGUGUGGCCACGCCUUUGGUGACGCCCAUUGGUCACACCCUUACAGGCCACGCCCACUUUGUGCUUGUGGAGUGGCCACACCCAACUUGACCACGCCCAACUUGGCCUACGCAGUCGUGACCCAUUGGAUCCAUUUGGGCCACUCCCCUUCUGGGCCACGCCCCAAAGACCACACCCACUGUGACCACACCUUAACUGGCCACGCCCAUCCAUGACCACACCCAACUUGGCCACGCCCCUUUGGCCACACCCAACUCCUUGGCCAACCCUCAGUGCUCAUUGCCUGUUGACCCAACCCCUUCCAUGACCUCUCUUUGUGACCCCGCCCAUUUGUGACCACGCCCCUUUGUGACCACGCCCC
Molecule: long non-coding RNA, 1856 nt
Organism: Zonotrichia albicollis (white-throated sparrow)
Lineage: Eukaryota; Metazoa; Chordata; Aves; Passeriformes; Passerellidae
Source: Ensembl